Molecule: long non-coding RNA, 357 nt
Filed under: Marmota monax (woodchuck)
Lineage: Eukaryota; Metazoa; Chordata; Mammalia; Rodentia; Sciuridae
Source: RNAcentral
ACAUGUGUAUUUUUGUGUACUGUUUUCAAGUGGACUGAGAUUUAAAUGCGUUGUCACUAGAGCUGACUGAAGGAGAAACUUAGUCUCAGAGAGAACUUAUUGGUUCCACAGUUUCAUAUUUCCCACAUACCUUUAAGUUAAGCUAAAGUUUUAAGUGGCAGUUUUCUGUCAGAAACUUCUUCAAGUGCUAACACUGUCUCAUUUUUUUAAAUCCUGGAAAGGGCUCAAAUUGGCAGGUGGCUGGUGCUAGCAUAAAUUAAUCUGGGUGUGUAGCUAGCUACACAGUGUUUAAAUGGUCUGAGCCUGCGCUCUCCUUUGACAUGAAUACGUGAGUUUCUUGGCCGUAGUACUCUGUCG